This 424-nucleotide ribosomal RNA is filed under the name uncultured prokaryote. RNAcentral describes it as "bacterial SSU rRNA". It matches the Rfam family "Bacterial small subunit ribosomal RNA", at positions 355 to 796 of the family's 1533-position model. The record is from RNAcentral.
UGGGGAAUUUUGCACAAUGGGGGAAACCCUGAUGCAGCGACGCCGCGUGGGUGAUGAAGGCCUUAGGGUUGUAAAGCCCUUUCAGCAGGGAAGAUAAUGACGGUAGCCGGAGAAGAAGCCCCGGCCAACUCCGUGCCAGCAGCCGCGGUAAUACGGAGGGGGCUAGCGUUGUUCGGAAUUACUGGGCGUAAAGCGCGCGUAGGCGGGCUGGUCAGUUGGGGGUGAAAUCCCGGGGCUUAACCUCGGAACUGCCCUCAAUACUACCAGUCUAGAGAUCGAGAGAGGUAAGUGGAAUUCCUAGUGUAGAGGUGAAAUUCGUAGAUAUUAGGAAGAACACCAGUGGCGAAGGCGGCUUACUGGCUCGAUACUGACGCUGAGGCGCGAAAGCGUGGGGAGCAAACAGGAUUAGAUACCCCCGUAGUCC